UGGGGGAUAUUGCACAAUGGGGGAAACCCUGAUGCAGCAACGCCGCGUGAGGGAAGAAGGUUUUCGGAUUGUAAACCUCUGUCCCCGGGGAAGAUAAUGACGGUACCCGGGGAGGAAGCUCCGGCUAACUACGUGCCAGCAGCCGCGGUAAUACGUAGGGAGCGAGCGUUGUCCGGAAUUACUGGGUGUAAAGGGUGCGUAGGCGGCUGUGCAAGUCAGGCGUGAAAUGCAGGGGCUUAACCCCUGAGCUGCGUUUGAAACUGCACGGCUUGAGUGAAGUAGAGGUAGGCGGAAUUCCCGGUGUAGCGGUGAAAUGCGUAGAGAUCGGGAGGAACACCAGUGGCGAAGGCGGCCUACUGGGCUUUAACUGACGCUGAGGCACGAAAGCAUGGGUAGCAAACA
This 402-nucleotide ribosomal RNA is filed under the name uncultured bacterium. RNAcentral's name for it is "bacterial SSU rRNA". It matches the Rfam family "Bacterial small subunit ribosomal RNA", at positions 355 to 774 of the family's 1533-position model. The record is from RNAcentral.